CCGCACUGAUAAGUGACUGGACUUCCUCUGCUGUGGUCUUCCAAUCUCAUUCCAGUGCCAGAUUAACCUCAGUUUGCAGAAGGGUUGAGCUACAUAAUGGCUUCCCCCUUUCGAAGGCUGAGAACAUUU
Molecule: small nucleolar RNA, 129 nt
Organism: Solea solea (common sole)
Lineage: Eukaryota; Metazoa; Chordata; Actinopteri; Pleuronectiformes; Soleidae
Source: RefSeq, a predicted model, not a curated record